Non-coding RNA from Homo sapiens (human), 148 nucleotides. It matches the Rfam family "Metazoan signal recognition particle RNA". Rfam says of the family: The signal recognition particle (SRP) is a universally conserved ribonucleoprotein. It is involved in the co-translational targeting of proteins to membranes. The eukaryotic SRP consists of a 300-nucleotide 7S RNA and six proteins: SRPs 72, 68, 54, 19, 14, and 9. The record is from Rfam. Lineage: Eukaryota; Metazoa; Chordata; Mammalia; Primates; Hominidae.
GCCGGGUGUGGUGGCGGGCACCUGUAGUCCCAGCUACUAGGGAGGCUGAGGCAGGAGAAUCACUUGAACCCAGGAGGUGGAGGUUGCAGUGAGCCAAGAUCGAGCCAUUGCACUCCAGCCUGGGUGACAGAGUGAAACUCUGUCUCAA